MicroRNA precursor from Amphilophus citrinellus (Midas cichlid), 63 nucleotides. NCBI's taxonomy places the organism in Eukaryota, Metazoa, Chordata, Actinopteri, Cichliformes, Cichlidae. The record is from Ensembl.
ACCUGGCAUACAGUGUAGGAAUCUGUGUGUGUCAGUCUACAGCUACAUUGUCUGCUGGGUUUC